RNAcentral lists this ribosomal RNA (464 nucleotides) under uncultured bacterium. Its description in RNAcentral is "partial 16S ribosomal RNA". It matches the Rfam family "Bacterial small subunit ribosomal RNA", at positions 339 to 795 of the family's 1533-position model. The record is from RNAcentral.
CUACGGGACGCAGCAGUGGGGAAUAUUGCACAAUGGGCGCAAGCCUGAUGCAGCCAUGCCGCGUGUAUGAAGAAGGCCUUCGGGUUGUAAAGUACUUUCAGCGGGGAGGAAGGGAGUAAAGUUAAUACCUUUGCUCAUUGACGUUACCCGCAGAAGAAGCACCGGCUAACUCCGUGCCAGCAGCCGCGGGAAUACGGAGGGUGCAAGCGUUAAUCGGAAUUACUGGGCGUAAAGCGCACGCAGGCGGUUUGUUAAGUCAGAUGUGAAAUCCCCGGGCUCAACCUGGGAACUGCAUCUGAUACUGGCAAGCUUGAGUCUCGUAGAGGGGGGUAGAAUUCCAGGUGGAGCGGUGAAAUGCGUAGAGAUCUGGAGGAAUACCGGUGGCGAAGGCGGCCCCCUGGACGAAGACUGACGCUCAGGUGCGAAAGCGUGGGGAGCAAACAGGAUUAGAUACCCCCGUAGUC